UACGUAGGGUGCGAGCGUUGUCCGGAAUUAUUGGGCGUAAAGAGCUCGUAGGCGGUGUGUCGCGUCGGCCGUGAAAACCUGCAGCUUAACUGUGGGCUUGCGGUCGAUACGGGCAUCACUGGAGUUCGGCAGGGGAGACAGGAAUUCCUGGUGUAGCGGUGAAAUGCGCAGAUAUCAGGAGGAACACCGGUGGCGAAGGCGGGUCUCUGGGCCGAUACUGACGCUGAGGAGCGAAAGCAUGGGGAGCGAACAGG
RNAcentral lists this ribosomal RNA (254 nucleotides) under uncultured bacterium. Its description in RNAcentral is "partial 16S ribosomal RNA". It matches the Rfam family "Bacterial small subunit ribosomal RNA", at positions 524 to 776 of the family's 1533-position model. The record is from RNAcentral.